AUUGAACGCUGGCGGAAUGCUUUACACAUGCAAGUCGAACGGCAGCACGGGUGCUUGCACCUGGUGGCGAGUGGCGAACGGGUGAGUAACAUAUCGGAACGUGCCCAGUAAUGGGGGAUAACUAACCGAAAGGUUAGCUAAUACCGCAUACGCCCUGAGGGGGAAAGCGGGGGAUCGAAAGACCUCGCGUUAUUGGAGCGGCCGAUAUCUGAUUAGCUAGUUGGUAGGGUAAAGGCCUACCAAGGCGACGGUCAGUAGCUGGUCUGAGAGGAUGAUCAGCCACACUGGGACUGAGACACGGCCCAGACUCCUACGGGAGGCAGCAGUGGGGAAUUUUGGACAAUGGGCGAAAGCCUGAUCCAGCCAUUCCGCGUGAGUGAAGAAGGCCUUCGGGUUGUAAAGCUCUUUCGGCAGGAACGAAACGGCGCUCCCUAAUACGGGGCGCUAAUGACGGUACCUGAAGAAGAAGCACCGGCUAACUCCGUGCCAGCCGCCGCAGUAA
Molecule: ribosomal RNA, 502 nt
Filed under: uncultured bacterium
Lineage: Bacteria
Description: partial 16S ribosomal RNA
Rfam family: Bacterial small subunit ribosomal RNA
Source: RNAcentral